Molecule: unclassified non-coding RNA, 279 nt
Filed under: plant metagenome
Description: partial contains small subunit ribosomal RNA, internal transcribed spacer 1, and 5.8S ribosomal RNA
Source: RNAcentral
UUUCCGUAGGUGAACCUGCGGAAGGAUCAUUAAUACGCCCCCGGACAUGAUCUGUCAGAAAUGGCCCGGUAUGCUUAGGCCAAUCGCCAUCCGUGUGUCGUGUAUAAUUGUUGCUUUGGUGAACCGCCCCUUGGGCACCGGCUUCGUCUGGCCCGCGCCCGCCCUAGGACCCCAAACUCUGUAUGUUCGUGAUGUCUGAGUACUAUUUAAUAAUUAAAACUUUCAACAACGGAACUCUUGUUUCUUGCAUCCAUGAAGAACGCAGCAGAUCGGAAGAGA